Molecule: ribosomal RNA, 309 nt
Filed under: uncultured Planctomycetota bacterium
Lineage: Bacteria; Pseudomonadati; Planctomycetota
Description: bacterial SSU rRNA
Rfam family: Bacterial small subunit ribosomal RNA
Source: RNAcentral
AAUGAACGUUGGCGGCGUGGAUUAGGCAUGCAAGUCGUGCGGAAAGGCCCCGCAAGGGGUACUCGAGCGGCGUAAGGGAGAGUAACGCGUGGAUCACCUACCCCCGGAUCCGGGAUAGCCACGGGAAACUGUGGGUAAUACCGGAUGACGUCUUCGGACCAAAGGUGCGAUUCCGUCCGGGGAUGGGUCCGCGUCCUAUUAGCUAGUUGGUAGGGUAAUGGCCUACCAAGGCAACGAUGGGUACGAGGUGUGAGAGCAUGACCUCGCUCACUGGGACUGAGACACUGCCCAGACACCUACGGGUGGCAG